GGUUAACUGUUGUUGGGUGCCUUAGGCAUCGAUGCUGCAGGCGGAAGUCAUCUGCUGUAGAAGCUCGGGCGGGAACUUUCUAUUGGAGAAGUCCAGCAGGAGUCCGAUUGCUAGAGAAGUUUGUCUGGAAUUUAUCUGAUGUAGAAGCUUGUCUGAAGACUGUCUGCUGGAGAGGUCCGGUUUCAUAAGAAAUCUAGCAGAAGGUUGAUCGAUAGU
RNAcentral lists this long non-coding RNA (216 nucleotides) under Elaeis guineensis (African oil palm). Its description in RNAcentral is "long non-coding RNA (EGUI_LNC058659)". Lineage: Eukaryota; Viridiplantae; Streptophyta; Magnoliopsida; Arecales; Arecaceae. The record is from RNAcentral.